This is a long non-coding RNA of Stomoxys calcitrans (stable fly), 686 nucleotides long. RefSeq lists it as uncharacterized. The record is from RefSeq and is a predicted model, not a curated record. Lineage: Eukaryota; Metazoa; Arthropoda; Insecta; Diptera; Muscidae. The transcript is spliced from 2 exons.
ACAGAAACAUAUUCCUUUUUAAGAAAACACAUAUCAAAUAGUUUGACCAUAUUUAAACAAAAGUGAAAAUUUACAAAACAAAAAACAUUGUUUAUGUCAACGAAUAAUAGUGUAUUACCAUCACAUGUGUAUGCAUAUAGCAUUAAUAUGGCUUACAUUACACACAUUACAUUUAGGAGUACCAGAUUGUGCAGGUGACUAAAGAUAGUUGCUACACCUUCUAGAUACCGCCUGGAGUUUGUGAUGUUCUCCCUCACAACUACUACCAUUUACAUCGUAAUUAAGACAUUUGCGAUAAUGCCAAAGCGUGUACGAUCUCAUACUUCAUUAACACAUUGUUUUAAGAGUCUGCCGAAGAGAACAACAACUGAUGUACGAUUUGCUGCUCGUAGCGUUUCUUCUCUUGCCCGAUGGUUUUAUGGAUUUGGGUUUUUUCUUUGUGUACAAGUCAAGUCGCAUUCCAUCCAAACUCACACGUACUCACAAAUUCGUUGAAUGGAGCCGCCGUACCCACAUUGUUGGAGCUCUGGCGGAUUGUUGGUUUGCGUUUAUACGAGUUUUUUUUUUGUACAUUAAGAUGUGAAAAAAGUAUCUAUUUAUGUAUGUACAUACACAUACACAUUUGUACUUAUGGAUAUGAAAUGAAUGUUUAAUAAAUAUUAAAUCAAAUUAAACGUUAACACCGA